This 408-nucleotide ribosomal RNA is filed under the name uncultured bacterium. Its description in RNAcentral is "partial 16S ribosomal RNA". It matches the Rfam family "Bacterial small subunit ribosomal RNA", at positions 28 to 526 of the family's 1533-position model. The record is from RNAcentral.
GACGAACGCUGGCGGCGUGCUUAACACAUGCAAGUCGAACGAAGUGGCGAACGGGUGAGUAACGCGUAAUCAACCUGCCCUUCAGCGGGGGACAACAGUUGGAAACGACUGCUAAUACCGCAUACUGACGUAGGGGAUUGCGUCUGAUUAGCUAGUUGGAGGGUUAACGGCCCACCAAGGCGAUGAUCAGUAGCCGGUCUGAGAGGAUGAACGGACAAGUUGGGACUGAGGCACGGCCCAGACCCCUACGGGAGGCAGCAGUGGGGAAUCUUCCGCAAUGGACGAAAGGCGGACGGAGCAACGCCGCGUGAGUGAUGACGGCCUUCGGGUUGUAAAGCUCUGUUAAUCGGGACGCGGUACCGGAAUAGAAAGCCACGGCUAACUACGUGCCAGCAGCCGCGGUAAUUC